Molecule: ribosomal RNA, 449 nt
Filed under: uncultured bacterium
Lineage: Bacteria
Description: partial 16S ribosomal RNA
Rfam family: Bacterial small subunit ribosomal RNA
Source: RNAcentral
AACGAACGCUGGCGGCAGGCUUAACACAUGCAAGUCGAGCGCCGUAGCAAUACGGAGCGGCAGACGGGUGAGUAACGCGUGGGAAUCUACCCAUCACUACGGAACAACUCCGGGAAACUGGAGCUAAUACCGUAUACGUCCUUCGGGAGAAAGAUUUAUCGGUGAUGGAUGAGCCCGCGUUGGAUUAGCUAGUUGGUGGGGUAAUGGCCCACCAAGGCGACGAUCCGUAGCUGGUCUGAGAGGAUGAUCAGCCACACUGGGACUGAGACACGGCCCAGACUCCUACGGGAGGCAGCAGUGGGGAAUAUUGGACAAUGGGCGCAAGCCUGAUCCAGCCAUGCCGCGUGAGUGAUGAAGGCCCUAGGGUUGUAAAGCUCUUUCACCGGUGAAGAUAAUGACGGUAACCGGAGAAGAAGCCCCGGCUAACUUCGUGCCAGCCGCCGCAGUAA